This 501-nucleotide ribosomal RNA is filed under the name uncultured bacterium. Its description in RNAcentral is "partial 16S ribosomal RNA". It matches the Rfam family "Bacterial small subunit ribosomal RNA", at positions 28 to 523 of the family's 1533-position model. The record is from RNAcentral.
GAUGAACGCUAGCGGCAGGCCUACACAUGCAAGUCGAGGGGCAGCACAGAAACAGCAAUGUUUUGGUGGCGACCGGCGGACGGGUGCGUAACGCGUAUGCAACCUACCUUUAACAGGGGGAUAACGGAGAGAAAUUUCCACUAAUACCCCAUAACAUCGAUCAAGGCAUCUUGAUUGGUUGAAAACUUCGGUGGUUAAAGAUGGGCAUGCGUUGUAUUAGGUAGUUGGUGAGGUAAUGGCUCACCAAGCCUACGAUACAUAGGGGGACUGAGAGGUUAGCCCCCCACACUGGUACUGAGACACGGACCAGACUCCUACGGGAGGCAGCAGUGAGGAAUAUUGGUCAAUGGGGGCAACCCUGAACCAGCCAUGCCGCGUGCAGGAAGACGGCUCUAUGAGUUGUAAACUGCUUUUAAACAGGGAUAAAGCACAGUAUGUAUACUGUGUUGAAGGUACUGUAAGAAUAAGGAUCGGCUAACUCCGUGCCAGCCGCCGCGGUAA